This 497-nucleotide ribosomal RNA is filed under the name uncultured bacterium. Its description in RNAcentral is "partial 16S ribosomal RNA". It matches the Rfam family "Bacterial small subunit ribosomal RNA", at positions 28 to 507 of the family's 1533-position model. The record is from RNAcentral.
GAUGAACGCUGGCGGCGUGCCUAAUACAUGCAAGUCGAGCGAACGGACGAGAAGCUUGCUUUUCUGAUGUUAGCGGCGGACGGGUGAGUAACACGUGGAUAACCUACCUAUCAGACUGGGAUAACUUCGGGAAACCGGAGCUAAUACCGGAUAAUAUUUUGAACCGCAUGGUUCAAAAGUGAAAGACGGUCUUUCUGUCACUUAUAGAUGGAUCCGCGCUGCAUUAGCUAGUUGGUAAGUUAACGGCUUACCAAGGCAACGAUGCAUAGCCGACGCGAGGGGGUGAUAGGCCACACGGGAACUGAGCCACGGUCCAGACGCCUACGGGAGGCAGCAGUAGGGAAUCUUCCGCAAUGGGCGAAAGCCUGACGGAGCAACGCCGCGUGAGUGAUGAAAGUCUUCGGAUCGUAAAAAUCUGUUAUUAGGGAAGAACAUAUGUGUAAGUACCUGUGCACAUCGUGACGGUACCUAAUCAGAAAGCCACGGCUAACUACGUG